Ornithodoros turicata is the source of this 689-nucleotide long non-coding RNA. RefSeq lists it as uncharacterized. NCBI's taxonomy places the organism in Eukaryota, Metazoa, Arthropoda, Arachnida, Ixodida, Argasidae. The record is from RefSeq and is a predicted model, not a curated record. The transcript is spliced from 3 exons.
AGAAAAUUCUGUCACGCCAACUUCUGCAGCAUGACUGUUCUCCCGCACUGAAAGACCUCCCUUGUAUGUCAACGUCAAAAAUCGCAGACCAAUCCAAGAUGUGCCGCCUCCACCUACUUGGCAACCUUAUUCUCACCGUAUGAUUCAUUCCAGUGUUUCAUGGCCUUGCAUUGAACGUGUUGUACUUUAACGCUGGUAAAAUUAAGACAUUCAUCAUGCAGUGAAUGAAGCUGGGCAUCCGGACCCUGAAUUUCCCAUAGGGAGUCCCACACAGUCCGCCAAGUAUACAAGGAUGCAAUGGCAGACGAGGGAAAUGAAUGAGUGUCUACUUCAGCCAGUGUGGCAGUCAGCACAGCUGUCUCAGUCCCAGCGAAUAAGGCAACCAGACGCACAAACUUCACAGUAUGGUAUGCCAAUAGGGAUUCUCCCAAACGAUAUUGUGAUGCGUUGACUGUUGUAUGGUGAACUAACUGCAAAGCAGCUGUGCGUAUCCCAAGCAGAAAUCAACAAGAUGAGCGGCCCCUCCCCCGUACUGCUGCAGUGUAUAUCCUGCACAUGGUAGGAACAUUUUCCUGUAUGUUAGAAGUGCAUUGCAGAUCAUAAUUCAUUCUGUAGUCAGCAUCCUAAAAAAGAAAAAAAAAAGGAUCGCGUACUAUACCAAGCAUGCGAUUCCCUCUGUCAUUACUUUA